Long non-coding RNA from Beta vulgaris subsp. vulgaris (sugar beet), 754 nucleotides. RefSeq lists it as uncharacterized. The record is from RefSeq and is a predicted model, not a curated record. NCBI's taxonomy places the organism in Eukaryota, Viridiplantae, Streptophyta, Magnoliopsida, Caryophyllales, Amaranthaceae. The transcript has 2 exons.
UAUGAGAAUCCCCAUUCGUGGAUUUAGUGGUUGAGAAUUCAUUGCUUAUGAUGAUGGAAAUAAUGUUUGGUGAUGCGAGAAAAGGUAAAAGAAAAGGACAAAGAGGAGAAGUCAGGUAGUAAGAAAAGAUAUCCCUUAAACGAGUUUGGCUAGGCAACCAACUGUUUGAGUCUCUUAGUGGACUCAAACAGGGGUUUUUUAGUAAUUUCAACUUUGAGAUAAUAAGAUGGAGAGGAGUGUGUACACGCGCGUGUGAGAAAGAAACCAAACACUCUGUUCUCUCUCCUUCCUCAGUACGCCAGUUUUUCUCUCUCUCACUUCAACUCUCUCUCCCUCCAUCUUCAACCCUUUCUUUCUCAAAACUCCAUUUUUUCAGAGGUUUUUAGGGUUUUGCAACCGGGGAAAACAACAUUAUUGUGUCAUCUCGUCGAAUUUCGGAUUAUGGGGAAGAAAGAAAUUGUUUUGGGGAGCAACAAAAGAAAAAACUGUGAUGAAGCUGGCCCUUCUAAGAAGGCGAAGAAGGAAAUAAAAAAUGAAAUCAAAGUAGAAUGCUGCCGAGAGCUUUAGCAUGAGAUUGAGGGAAACACACACAAUAGUUUCCCACUACUUGAACAAAUCCAAUAAAAAGGAGAGUUUAGCAUGAGAAUUUUUGUUUUACUUCAUCAUUGUAGAAAAAUAAUUCUAGUUUUCUUUGUUUUACUUCAUCAUUGUAAAUAAAUAUUAUAAUGUGAUGAUAAAUAAAAUAAUCAUCUAA